AACGCUAGCUACAGGCUUAACACAUGCAAGUCGAGGGGUAGCAGGGUAGCAAUACCGCUGACGACCGGCGCACGGGUGAGUAACGCGUAUCCAACCUGCCCACAACUAAGGAAUAACCUUGCGAAAGUAAGACUAAUACCUUAUGAUUUCCUCUGAAGGCAUCGGACGAGGAAUAAAGAUUUAUCGGUUAUGGAUGGGGAUGCGUCUGAUUAGCUUGUUGGCGGGGUAACGGCCCACCAAGGCAACGAUCAGUAGGGGUUCUGAGAGGAAGGUCCCCCACAUUGGAACUGAGACACGGUCCAAACUCCUACGGGAGGCAGCAGUGAGGAAUAUUGGUCAAUGGGCGAGAGCCUGAACCAGCCAAGUAGCGUGCAGGAUGACGGCCCUAUGGGUUGUAAACUGCUUUUAUACAGGAAUAAAGUUAGCCACGUGUGGUUAUUUGUAGGUACUGUAUGAAUAAGGACCGGCUAAUUCCGUGCCAGCAGCCGCGGUAAUACGGAAGGUCCAGGCGUUAUCCGGAUUUAUUGGGUUUAAAGGGAGCGUAGGCCGUCUGUUAAGCGUGUUGUGAAAUGUAGAUGCUCAACAUCUGAAUUGCAGCGCGAACUGGCAGACUUGAGUGUGCGCAACGUAGGCGGAAUUCGUGGUGUAGCGGUGAAAUGCUUAGAUAUCACGAAGAACUCCGAUUG
This 686-nucleotide ribosomal RNA is filed under the name uncultured bacterium. RNAcentral's name for it is "bacterial SSU rRNA". It matches the Rfam family "Bacterial small subunit ribosomal RNA", at positions 32 to 715 of the family's 1533-position model. The record is from RNAcentral.